GGACCCGCACAAGCGGUGGAGUAUGUGGCUUAAUUCGAUGCAACGCGAAGAACCUUACCUAGGCUUGACAUGCUUGUCGUACUCUCCCGAAAAGGAGAGGUCACUUCGGGUGGACAAUGCACAGGUGCUGCAUGGCCGUCGUCAGCUCGUGUCGUGAGAUGUUUGGUUAAGUCCAGCAACGAGCGCAACCCCCUGUGAACUGUUGCCAGCGCGUAAAGGCGGGGACUCUGUUCAGACUGCCCAGAUCAACUGGGAGGAAGGUGGGGACGACGUCAGGUCAGUAUGGCCCUUACGCCUAGGGCUGCACACGUACUACAAUGCCCAGCACAAUGAGAACCGAGACCGCAAGGUGGAGGAAAUCUGCAAAAACUGGGCCCAGUUCGGAUUGGAGGCUGCAACUCGCCUCCAUGAAGUCGGAAUCGCUAGUAAUCGCGGAU
This 437-nucleotide ribosomal RNA is filed under the name uncultured bacterium. Its description in RNAcentral is "bacterial SSU rRNA". It matches the Rfam family "Bacterial small subunit ribosomal RNA", at positions 917 to 1349 of the family's 1533-position model. The record is from RNAcentral.